GCGAGCGUAGUCUAGUGGUUAUGAUGUCUGCUUUACAUAGCUAAAUGUGGAGCGCAGAAGGUCGGGAGUUCGAUCCUCCCCGCUCGUA
This is a non-coding RNA of Periconia macrospinosa, 88 nucleotides long. Lineage: Eukaryota; Fungi; Ascomycota; Dothideomycetes; Pleosporales; Periconiaceae. The record is from the annotation of a GenBank genome assembly.